GAUGAACGCUGGCGGCGUGCCUAAUACAUGCAAGUCGAGCGAACAGAUGAGGAGCUUGCUCCUCUGACGUUAGCGGCGGACGGGUGAGUAACACGUGGAUAACCUACCUAUAAGACUGGGAUAACUUCGGGAAACCGGAGCUAAUACCGGAUAAUAUAUUGAACCGCAUGGUUCAAUAGUGAAAGACGGUUUUGCUGUCACUUAUAGAUGGAUCCGCGCCGCAUUAGCUAGUUGGUAAGGUAACGGCUUACCAAGGCAACGAUGCUUAGCCGACCUGAGAGGUUGAUCGGCCACACUGGAACUGAGACACGGUCCAGACUCCUACGGGAGGCAGCAGUAGGGAAUCUUCCGCAAUGGGCGAAAGCCUGACGGAGCAACGCCGCGUGAUUGAUGAAGGUCUUCGGAUCGUAAAACUCUGUUAUUAGGGAAGAACAAAUGUGUAAGUAACUAUGCACGUCUUGACGGUACCUAAUCAGAAAGCCACGGCUAACUACGUG
RNAcentral lists this ribosomal RNA (497 nucleotides) under uncultured bacterium. RNAcentral's name for it is "partial 16S ribosomal RNA". It matches the Rfam family "Bacterial small subunit ribosomal RNA", at positions 28 to 507 of the family's 1533-position model. The record is from RNAcentral.